GAAUAAUCCUUUACGCCUUGAGAAACUGGCAAAUGAGGUGACCUACCGUCGGAUGAAAGACACGUUGAUACAAUUGAGUAAAGGUGUGCUGAAGGGCCCUGCCUCUGACUUGGUUCGUGUUCUUUUUGGGGAGAGACCUCCAACAAUGUCUAAGAAGGAUGUCAGUUUCACUCCUUCGAAUCGCAACCUUGAUCACUCGCAGAAAGAUGCAAUUUCGAAGGCACUUUCAUCCAAGGAUGUAUUUUUGUUGCAUGGGCCUCCUGGAACUGGGAAAACGACCACUGUUGUUGAGAUAAUUUUGCAGGAAGUCAAACGUGGUUCAAAGAUUCUCGCUUGCGCUGCUUCAAAUAUUGCUGUUGAUAACAUUGUUGAGAGACUUGUUCCACACAGAGUGAAACUGGUGAGAUUGGGACAUCCUGCACGUAUGCUCCCACAAGUAUUGGAUAACGCUCUGGAUGCCCAGGUUCUACGUGGUGAUAAUAGUUCUCUUGCAAAUGACAUCCGCAAGGAGAUGAAGGCAUUGAAUGGGAAAUUAUUAAAAGCUAAAGAUAGAAAUGUGAAGAAGGACAUCCGGAGGGAACUCAAGUCUCUUUCCAGAGAAGAGCGUAAAAGGCAGCAGCUAGCAGUAACGGAUGUUAUUAAGAAUGCAGAUGUAGUGCUGACAACAUUGACUGGGGUAUUGACCAAAAAGUUGGAUGGCUUAUCAUUUGAUGUGGUUGUUAUUGAUGAAGCU
This 733-nucleotide unclassified non-coding RNA is filed under the name Hevea brasiliensis (rubber tree). The record is from RNAcentral. Lineage: Eukaryota; Viridiplantae; Streptophyta; Magnoliopsida; Malpighiales; Euphorbiaceae.